UUUGAAAAUGACUGGGAUCCAUGUUGAUUCAGUCAGCUAGGAAGGAUCAUCAGUUUCCCCAAUGAAUGGGUACUCACGGGAUGCACCACGAGAAGGUCAAUCCAAUGCAUCCUUAAAAUCGGUUAUAACCUUUGCUGAAAACCACCUGCAUUACAAUAACUUUGAGGAUAAUUAUACCAAAGGUUCAACUUAUUAGUCAAGGUAUUAUGAAUAUCAGUACCUUGUGAGCACAACACCUGCACACCUGGCUUUUUUUUUUCCCCCAGAGGGUCUGGUGUUACAUAUUCUUGGACUUAAAAAAUGGGAAUGUUAUUAUGUUACUUAACUUCAAAGAUAACUUUCUUUGCUGUUAUUUUAUACUUGUGUUAAUCUGAAAAGGACCAAUGUUUUCCAUUCCUUUUAUUCCAGAUACAACAGGGAAACUAUCAGGGCAAGGCAGAGAGUGAGAGACACAGUGGCAUUGCUCCACCAUCCGUGGAACUCUCUGAAGGCUGGGGUGCCCCCAGGGGGUGCUAGGACUCGAACCCAGAGCGUGAAGCACCGUAAAGUAUGUUCUCUUUUGGGUGAGCUAGCUCCUGCCCCUCCCUGUUGUGGAACAGAGAUACACGAAGCCAAUCCAGAAAUGACAUCACCCCUGAAUGUCACAGAGACUUAGGAAUUUUAUUUCUUCUGAGGAAACGUAAUUCAAAGUAUGGUGGAUAGUUUCUGGAAUUAUCCAGCUCUGUCAUUGGUUUACUCAUCUAGAAAGAGUAAAGCAAUUGUGCCACCUAGAACUUGGGUCACAGUGCUGAAAGAUUGUUUUGCCAUUGCAGGUUAAAGAAAAAAAUCUUAAAGGAGGCUGGAUGGUUUCCAUUUUAUAAAUAAAAAAUAAUAUUUUAAAAAAACAUAGUACUAUGAACAAGGAUCCAGGUUCAAACCCUGGCUCCCCACCUUCAGUGGGGAUGCUUCCUGAGUGGUGAAGCAAGUCUGCAGGUGUCUAUCUUUCUCUCUCCCUCUCAAUUUCUCUUCCUCUUUCCUCUCAAUUUCUCUCUUUUAUCGAAAAAAAAAAAGGUGCGGGGGCAGGAUGGCCACCAGGAGCUGUGGAUUCAUGGCACUGGCAUUGAAACCCAGGGACAAUCUUGGAGAAAGAAAAAAAAAAACAGGAAUAAGAAGCAUUGGUUUCAGUGCAAAGAAAACAUCUGGAUUCCAGAUUAAAUUGUGGACUCACAGAUGCUGCCGACCCCCUGAUGCUGAACAAUAAUCAGCCUAUUACACAGACUCCGAACACUUCUGAAUUGGGGGGUUUUCUGGCAGGUAAAGCCUGCUUGUGCUCUGUGUGCCCACGGCAUACACUCUAGAGCUUCACCUCAGGGAGUCAUCAAAACAGACCUUUGCAAAGAUGGACAAGCCAGGAUGAACAAGUGUUUGGAUUUCAUAGGGGAUCUCUGUGUGCAUGACACAGGGCGUCUUGCCGUGGCUGGGUUUUCUCCUGCUUUACAGGCAAUUAGGUGUUGAGUCAGUGAGCAGAUGUGCCAGGUGCCAUGGAUCUAAUUCUUAUACCCUUUCUCCCUCCCUCCUUUACCCCUUUGCCCCGUCUCCAGAGAUUAAGGAAUGUUAAACCAGGAGUCUAUAAUGCAGACGUCAGAGAAAGAAAGGAGUUGCUGAACAGUCUCAGCUCAACAUUUUAGAAAGGCUAGGCCCUAGGGAUCAGGCAGUGGAGCACCUGGUUGAGUGCAUACAUUGCCAUCAUGCACAAGGACCAGGGUUCAAGCCCCCAGUCUCCACCUGCAGGGAGGUAGGCUUUAUGAGAUGUGAAGCAAUGCUGCAGCUCACCUUUUCUAUCUCUUUCUCUCUAUCUCUCUGUCUCUCCUUCUCUCUCUCAAUUUCUCAUUGUCCUAUGAAAUAAAAAGAAAGGGGGAAAAAAAGAAAAUUACACUGGAACAUGAUGGCAGAGGAGGACCUAGUGGGGGUUGAACUGUUAUGUGGAAACUGGGAAAUGUUAUUCAUGAAUAAACUAUUGUGCUUUACUGUCAACCGUAAGCCCUUAAUCCCCCAAUAUAGAAAUUAAAAAAAAAGAAAUUUAUGUAAAAAAGAAUAUUUUUUUAAAAAAAAGGAAGAAGGAAGGAAAGAAGGAAAAAGAGAAAGAAAGAAGAAAAGAAAAAGAACAGACCUGAGUGGCUCAUUCACAUGAAAAGAUUCCUUCCCCAGUACCACAAUGCCAGGCUGCAGGAUUCUGCCAGAGGCUGUGUGACUAGACCCCCUUCUCCUCUCCUUCUCCCCAUGGCCCCAGGCCCUCAAUAACCUGUGAACCCAGCCUGAGAGGCAGGAAGACAGGUUUUCGAGACGUGGCUCAGCCAUAUUUUCAGGUUGCUAGUACCUGAUCCAUCUCCAUUUUUUUUUUUUUGCCUCCAGGGUUACUGCUGGGGCUCAGUGCCUGCUCCAUGAAUCCACUGUUCCUGGAGGCUAUCCCCCACUUUUUGUUGCCCUUGUUGUUAUUAUUUUUUUUUACCAUUGCUGUGGUUAUUUUUUUAUUAUUGUUUUUAUUAAUGUCGUUGUUGUUGGAUAGGACAGAGAGAAAUGGAGAGAGGAGGGGAAGACAGAGAGGGAAAGAGAAAGACAGACACCUGCAUACCUGCUUCACCACCUGCAAAGCGACUCCCCUACAGGUGGGAAGCCGGGGGCUCAAACCGGGAUCCCUAUGGCAGUCCUUGCGCUUUGCGCCACAUGCGCUUAACCCGCUGCGCACUUAAGCAAUAGAAGUCAGGGAGCUCUCCCAACAUAGGAGACAUUUACAUGAUGUUAGCAUUUUAAAAUAACAAAAUGAACACUCUCCUCUGUCAGUGCAUGUGGUGUUUUCUAACAUCCUGGUUAGAAAAUAAAUGUAUAUUUUGAUCUCAUCUUGUUCCAACAUUUUGAUCUGUUAUCUGUUGAGACAGAAAACCAUCCUAGGUGUGAGGAAAUUCAAAUUAAGAGAUAAAAACAUGUUCUAGCAUCUUUGCUACAAAGUGGAUGCUCCUUCCUGUCCUUUCAUAAAAAAUUUUUUUUUAAUUAUUCUAUUUGUUUUCCUAUGACUGACAAGAAACUUUUGCCAAUCCACCCACUCAGUUCCCCUUGUUAAUCCACAAAUACAUGCUGGGGUAAUAUUUAUCAGAGAAUCAUUUUCACUGUGAUAGGAUUCAUAGUGGAAGAAGCAAAUAUUGCUUCAUUUGCAAAUAUAUAUAUAUAUAUAUAUGUUCAAAACAGGACAGGUGUUAUCUUAAUGUUUCAGUCCCACCACUUCCCCAGAAUGCUCUCCUGGAAAGAGUUUCUGUCUGAGGACCCACUGACAGUAGGGUGGGGGUGUGGUAGAGUAUUUUGCUGAAAACUAAGAAAUGUACCAUUAAGGUGUUAAGGUCAGAAAUGACAGGAAGUUACCUGGGGGAACACAGAUACUGCUGCACCAGGCCAGAACCCAUGUUCUCAGGCACACCUGUAUGUGUGCCUGGGGGAAGGAAAUUGCUGCCCAGGGAGUGGAACAGGUGAGUGUGUCUUAGCUAGGAGAUGAAGGCGGGGCUGGGAUGUUUAUAAGCUCCAUCUGUCCCCUGGCUUGGGCUCUCUUUCUAAGUGAGCCUUCCCACAUGUGGGUCAAGGGCUCCUCUCUUUCUUUCUCCCUUCCCCCUCUCUCUUGGCCUAACAUGCAAAUAUUCUCAAUUUUCCAGAAUAAAGUUUAAAAUUCCUGAAAAUCAUGCUUUCUCCUCAAUUCUUUGUUGGGGCUACGUGUGACAAAUCUUUUAAGCAUGUGGGAACUUACCUGUAGUUUUCCCCAGUAAAAUAUCAACAACUCUAUUUACUGUAAACCAUUAACCCCCCAAUACAUUGUUUUAGAGUUGUAAAAGAACAAUUGAACUGCUUAUCUAAGACACCAAUAUGCUAAGGAAUCUCACAUCACUAUGUGAUAAGUACGUGGCUUCUAGCAUGUGUGUGUCAACUUGGUGGGCCCACAUUGGGCUGGCACCCAUUGGGUCUGAUCAAAUAAACUGCCUCCCCUCCUAUCUUU
Erinaceus europaeus (western European hedgehog) is the source of this 4015-nucleotide long non-coding RNA. RefSeq lists it as uncharacterized. The transcript is spliced from 2 exons. The record is from RefSeq and is a predicted model, not a curated record. NCBI's taxonomy places the organism in Eukaryota, Metazoa, Chordata, Mammalia, Eulipotyphla, Erinaceidae.